AUGAUUCUUGCUGGUCAGGCUGGUUCCGGAGGGGCAAAUAAGAGCUGCUUCAAUGACAGUCUAAUUGUAGCCCACAUUCCCUCCAUGGUCUCUGGGGAGGGUUGCUGCUGGUCCACAAAGCUCUCAGGCCAUGCUAAGUCCCCGGAUGCUUCCACGGGUCUGCCGCUUCCAUCCUGCUGUAGGCUCAGUGAAGAAGGUGUUGACCCUGGUGACCUGAGCCUGCUUCCAUUGGGUAAUAGGAAAUGGCACUGACCCCUCCUGAUCCCCCCGAUUACCUUCGUGAAGCGUGAAUGUGGUAUGGAAUCACACAUCAGGAGACGAGUUGUAAUUAUUUCUGCGAUGCCAUCAGCAUGGAUCAAUCACUCAGGGAGGCUGCGAGUGGAACGCCGCUCGCAGCCAUAGAUGGAGCCAGCAGCGACCAUCUUUGACUGACAGCUUUGGUAAUUAAGUGAUUGUAUAGACCCCUCCGACUGUUAUAACAACCUUGUCAGGGCCAGCCUGUGUUUGGAACACACUCAAAUCAAUGUGUUCUCCACUCCCUAAGCAUUUCUGAUCAUGUACCUCAGACAGAAGAACUCUUUGCAUUGACGCUGCUUUCCUUUAAUAAUUGACAUGGCAGUAAAAGAGAUUUUAAAACACAAAAUAUAUAAUAUAAAAAAUAUACUUAACAUUACCAUUUUAUCAUAUUUUUUUCUCAUAGGAGGCCAAAAAAUUGCAAAUUUCAAGCCCGCUAACGCUUGAUGAAUAAAAGUAGAUUUUACUCUCUUCCUUGUAUCAAUCUUUGAAUUUCAUGGCAUAUAAUAACUCUAACGGGCACUUCAAAUCUGAACUUGAAUGUCACAUGUUUCGUUAUUGAGUGAUGUGUAGAAGUUGAAAUAAUAUACAGUGUGUCCAUCUUAAAUGUCAGGCCACUUUAACGCUCCAACCUUUAAUUCCAGAGCUUCAAAGAUCUAAAUUACCAUUGAAAUUUGCUUCCCGUCGGCAUAUCAUCAUAUCUUUGCCUUAUUUCACCACAUAAAAUGAAAAAUGUUUGACAGCGGAGAACUAGGUUGUCCAUAUGGUCUCAAAGAGAAUAAUUGGUGUGAACAUUCGCACACAAUUCUUUUAGAUUGAUGUGCCAUUGAUAACUCAUCUAUUUAUUAUGUCAAACAGUCAAGAGUUCUUUCUGUUAUUUAGUCUGAACUUUUAAACUGGCAACUGGAGUAUCCAGGUCGAGUUAAAUCAAUAGUGGGUCCACACGGGUCAGAGUACUCAUAAGAGUAAUAUAAAUGGUGAAUAACUGGCUUAUAACGAGGCUAAACGCAUAGAAGGAUAUUUUAAGGCUUUAUUAACUAUCUGUUAUAUAUCAUUUAGAAUGUCUAAGUAUUUAUUUGUCAUUGUUUUUUAUCAUGUUUAUUUAAUGAAAAAACUCAAUUUACUGAUGUCAUUAGAUGUGGCUGAAAAUCACAGAAAAAAGCCUAAAAAUGACCUUUGAGUUAAGUUUUUUUAAAUGAUUUGUUUGUGUAAAACAGCUUUUAUGACAUAUGUUGUCAUGCAUAUGAUGUAAUGUGUGGUUAUAGAGAACCCUCACAUUAAAAAUGCCGUUGGUAUUUAUUGAUACUAUAUGUGAUUACAGCUACAUUGCAACAACAUGUGUCAUAAACCAUCUGUUAAAUAUUUUUCAGUGGGUUUUAGUGCUAAACAGAGAAGGGUACCAUAUUAACAAAAAUGUUGGCCAGGAAGAUUCUGAUUUGAUUGCAUAACUUUGUGUUCACAUUUAUAGCGUCUGGCUUCGCUGUCAGAUUCCUCGGAACAGUUUUUGGUCAGCUGAUGUAAAGUUUAACGUUAGGGGGGCGUUACUCAGCUUGCUAUGAGGUCAGAGUUUAGCAAACUGCUCCAACAGUUGUGCCAACAUCUCUCACAGAGGGUCCAUCCAAAUUUAAUUCAAGUGCCACAGGCUCACUAUUGGUAAACUCUAAAACAUUCAGAAAAAAAUCAUGCAAAACAUAUUUUGAUAUCCUACAUAAAAAAGGACAAACUUUGGGAUCAGCAGAUGUUUUCUGUGUCAGCAGCAAUUCUGAACAAAAUUAAGACAUCUCACUUCUGGUGUCAAAUUCACCCUGUUUGUUUUUCUUUCCACCAGUUCUUCACUGAACCAACAAUUCUCUUGUGGUUUCUCUUGGCCACACACACACACACACACACACACACACACACACACACACACACCAAAAAAGGUUAAGUGUGUGAUAUUUGCCAGAGCUGGAUAUUUCAAAACACAGAGGACCUCUUUGCACCCAGUUAAUUUUUGCAUUUUUGUUUGUUUUCUUUGCUAGAAGUCAUCAUUGCAACAAGCUGAUAUGACAAAUUUUUUAAGAUGUAGAUUUCUGGGAAAGAAUUUGUGACGAAUCCCAAAUCCCCCGGGGACUCAGACACAAAGAUAAGUCAAUUAUUCUUUUAAAAAAUGUAUUUCUCCCUCUGACCACCUAACAUUAGUGACAUGCGGGUGAUACAGGUUUUAUUUUUCAAUGUGAUACUCUGACUUCAUACAUACCUGCUGUCCUUGUUGUUAUCCCUUUGCAGCUUUUAAUCAAUACAAUACUUCCCAUCCCAUCCCAUCAGUCACAGCCUUGUAUGCUGACACUGACACUUAAGCCAUUUUCAUGCCACAACAAUGUGAACUGCUGAGUGCAGCACUUGGCUCUGUUGUGUCUAAUUUGAGAUAUUUUAGCAAAAUUAUAAAAGUAAUACUAAAGCUUAAAAUCCAUACUAACAUGUAUUUAUUGUUGAAUAGUAAUAGUAGCUUAGAUCAUAUAGAAAUCCACAAAAAGUCCCGUUGUCCUCUUAGCUUGUGCAGUGUUAUGGGCUUAUGUUAAUCAGGCACUUUAGCAGCUGAUAAACUUGGAUUUAAAUAUAACUGUGUUCUGAAUUACAAGCAGAAAAAAAUCAAUACACAUACUGAAAUGCUUCUCAGUCACUCUAACUUUUGUUUUACUGGCCCCUGAAUGUUUAAAGUGUUAUGAUGUAUUAUAAAAUAUUUUUAAUACUGCUGGACAGACAAAGUGUGACACAUAACAUUUAAAGCUGUAGGUUCUAAAAUAGGAAAAUUGGCCUUUUUACUUGCAUAAUUAAAAUAAAUCUCUAAAUAGGCCUCCUCCUGUCCUGAUUGGAUCCUGCUUUUAAUGACGUUGCUCAUGAAAAUUAAAAAUAUAUAACCGAGUGAGAUCUUAAGUCUGCGGUCAUAAGGCAAGCUGCAAACCAUGAGUUUAUUCUCAUUAGAGAAACACUACAGCCGGUUGUGAAGUUUUUUUUUUUUGUUUGUUUUGUUUUUUAACUUGUCUUUUGUGAAACUCCUCCAUCUCUCCGUGCGUGUCCGGCUGUCGCAGCAUCCUCCUAACGACACCACCCUCCAUCCCCGCAGUGACUGACAGGCUAAAUGCGGGGGUGUCUCUGCGUAAACGCUGCAACUGUGCAACCUAAAGGUCGCCAGCGGUGAAGUGACAGCUUACACACAAAGCCGCCAGAGAAUCAAUAUGGUGCCAGCCACUGUUACACCGUCCCAUCAUCGACCAUCAGCUGAGGCCAAUAAGACGAUACUCUAACUGGUAGCAUUCAAUUUGCUCCUGCGGCGCCUUAAACCUAAUAAAGCGAUUGAUUGUUCCUGUUUGCAGUUGAUGAGCUGCCCAUGCGCCUCUCCACACAUUGACUGACGUGUUUAAGCAUCGCUUUGAUCCGAUCUGAGCGAUUUGUACGGAAUAAGGCUCAGAAAAGGCCCGAUUACAGGCUGCAUGUGGACAGGAUAUUCUAAUUAGCUCUCCACCGCGGGGAUGAUAUACUUUACAGCCAUGUGUGUCAUGUUGCGCUCGAAAUCUUUGUUUUAUUUUUGGAGCUUCAUCAGUGAUCGAUAACUAUUUUAAAAUAAGUUGUAUAAGUUAAAUGUGAAGCAAUGCGACUCAUUAAAGGGCAGCUGAGGCCCCAGUUUGCUCGUGAACUUCACUCCAGCACCGCCUGGCCUCGCUUUGUCGCCGCCUUGUGUUUAAAGCCUGCCUGCAUCUCACGCUGGAGGAGGGCAACAUCAGCUGAGAUGAUCCAGAGGUAAAACAUCAUUUUAAUCUUCUUAGUGUCCGCGGCUUUUCAUUUAAACAAUUAUGAAAUAAGGUUAGAAAAUGUAAUAGACUUUGUUUAAAAGCUUAAAUAAUAAUAAUAAUAAAAACAUAUUUAGAUUAGGGGCUUGGUUAAAAAAAAGAGAUAUUAUUUUGGAAUUAAAAUGUUCAUAUUUCACCGCACUGAACGUUUUCUAUACGUGAAUAAUAUUUAUGCAAUAUUUAUGCAGCUAGGUAAUAAUGGGUAUUUAAAUUAUUUAAUUAACAUAAACGUUUUAAUUUUAAUUAUGGUGCUGUUCCUAAAAAUAAACGAAUAAAUAAAUAUAGUUCUGGUUAUUUUGUUAUUAAGCAAAGUAAUAAGUAUAAAUUUCCUUCCAAAUUUGUUAAAAAUAAAAGCUCUAUGAAUUAAAAAUAAAUAAAGAAAACACUUUGCUGUUUUAAAUCCCCGGUGUUGUUAUUUUUCAAUGAAUAAAUAAAUUAGGAACAAACCUACAAAUCCGGAUUUUGGACAGCAAAAAAAAAAUCUUCAUCCGCUUCACAUGAAUAAUCAACACCAGCACCGUCUUCCCUGCCCACCUGCUGAAGGAGCAGAAAAAAAGAGAAAAAGAAAUAACAACAAUAAUCAUAAGAAGAA
This is a long non-coding RNA of Oreochromis niloticus (Nile tilapia), 4716 nucleotides long. The record is from Ensembl. NCBI's taxonomy places the organism in Eukaryota, Metazoa, Chordata, Actinopteri, Cichliformes, Cichlidae.